This 450-nucleotide ribosomal RNA is filed under the name uncultured bacterium. RNAcentral's name for it is "bacterial SSU rRNA". It matches the Rfam family "Bacterial small subunit ribosomal RNA", at positions 355 to 825 of the family's 1533-position model. The record is from RNAcentral.
UCAAGAAACUUCCACAAUGGGCGAAAGCCUGAUGGAGCGACGUCGCGUGAUGGACGAAGUGCUUCGGCACGUAAACAUCUUUUAUGUGGGAUGAAAUUAUUGACAGUACCACAUGAAUAAGGGGCUCCUAACUCUGUGCCAGCAGGAGCGGUAAUACAGAGGCCCCAAGCGUUAUCCGGAAUCACUGGGCGUAAAGGGUGUCGAGGCGGUUGUAUUAGUCGUUCGUAAAAUCUACGAGCUUAACUUGUAGGCGGCGAACGAAACGGUACGACUUGAGGUUUGGAGAGGUGCGUGGAACUCACGGUGUAGGGGUGAAAUCCGCUGAUGUCGUGGGGAACACCAAAGGCGAAGGCAGCGCACUGGCCAAAAUCUGACGCUCACACACGAAAGCUAGGGUAGCGAAGAGGAUUAGAUACCCUAGUAGUCCCUGAGCGGGCUGGCAAGGCGCAU